This is a long non-coding RNA of Pygocentrus nattereri (red-bellied piranha), 495 nucleotides long. RefSeq lists it as uncharacterized. The record is from RefSeq and is a predicted model, not a curated record. NCBI's taxonomy places the organism in Eukaryota, Metazoa, Chordata, Actinopteri, Characiformes, Serrasalmidae. The transcript is spliced from 3 exons.
UUUUUCAAGUUCUUGCCACCAUCUACAGGGAUGACAGAGAAUAUUCAAGGAAGAUCUAUGAUGUUCGCAACACUGAGCAUCUUAUUGAAAAAGCAUCGGCAGAACAACUUGGAUAUGUUGUAGUGAGAAUUCUGAAAUUCAACCCACAGUUUCAGGAAUUUAUUGACGUAGAUAGGAAUGUAGACAUCAGUAACUUUGAUAGAUUCCAGCUGUUCUUAUCAUGCAAAGAGACUGAAUCAUCUCAGCCUAUGGCCACUGCAGUCUGCCAAGCUCAGCAUACUCAAGUUUCACAAGAGCAUUAAAAACUGAGGUCCCUAUUGGAAAAGAAAGCACCAGAGACACUUGAUGAACUCAAAACCAAAGGCACUGUGACAGAAAAAGCAAGAAUAAAGCUUGUUAAAGUAUGCAUAUCUGACCUGGUGGAAAAGCAUGGAUUUUAUCCAACAAGUACUGAAAAAGUGGCUCUAGCAAAGAACAUCAUCACUGUGUUCCCGU